RNAcentral lists this ribosomal RNA (470 nucleotides) under uncultured organism. RNAcentral describes it as "partial 16S ribosomal RNA". It matches the Rfam family "Bacterial small subunit ribosomal RNA", at positions 335 to 797 of the family's 1533-position model. The record is from RNAcentral.
ACUCCUACGGGAGGCAGCAGUGGGGAAUUUUGGACAAUGGGCGAAAGCCUGAUCCAGCAAUGCCGCGUGAGUGAAGAAGGCCUUCGGGUUGUAAAGCUCUUUUGUCAGGGAAGAAACGGUGAAAGCUAAUAUCUUUUGCUAAUGACGGUACCUGAAGAAUAAGCACCGGCUAACUACGUGCCAGCAGCCGCGGUAAUACGUAGGGUGCAAGCGUUAAUCGGAAUUACUGGGCGUAAAGCGUGCGCAGGCGGUUUUGUAAGUCUGAUGUGAAAUCCCCGGGCUCAACCUGGGAAUUGCAUUGGAGACUGCAAGGCUAGAAUCUGGCAGAGGGGGGUAGAAUUCCACGUGUAGCAGUGAAAUGCGUAGAUAUGUGGAGGAACACCGAUGGCGAAGGCAGCCCCCUGGGUCAAGAUUGACGCUCAUGCACGAAAGCGUGGGGAGCAAACAGGAUUAGAAACCCGGGUAGUCCC